Molecule: unclassified non-coding RNA, 446 nt
Filed under: Hevea brasiliensis (rubber tree)
Lineage: Eukaryota; Viridiplantae; Streptophyta; Magnoliopsida; Malpighiales; Euphorbiaceae
Source: RNAcentral
GUCCUCAAUUGCAGUUUCAUGGGCUUGACUAUAAACAAGAUGAAGGGGAAGCAUUCCUGCUAGAUGUUCUGACACGGCAGCCAAAGCAGCUUUAACAGGCUUCCUUAAAUCCCACAGGAGAGACCGCCCAUUACACUGCAAAUGACUCUCCCAUGAUGGCUCUUCUGACUGCACCACAAUGACCAUAUCGGAAAGCGCUUUGGCUUGAUAAUGCUUGUCAACUAACAAGGGAUCACUAUGAAUAAACCAAAAGAUAGGGACUUCAAGGGUAGAUCUGCUAUGUGCAUGUGAACCUUUCAAAGAACCAUGAUCAUUCAAUCUCUGCAACUGAUGUUGGAGAAUGGAGGAAUCCAGAUAGGAACGAACCGUUUUCCUAUACGUUCCAUUCACAAGCAACAGGGGAACAGCUGCCGCUCUCCGGGCUACUGAAAACGCCAUAGCUAAAG